GACAGAGGUGCCGAGCGUUAGGCGGAAUCACUGGGCUUAAAGCGUGUGUAGGCGGAUCGUUAAGUACCUUGUGAAAAUCCUCGCGCUUAACCGUGGAACUGCUGGGUAUACUGGCGAUCUUGAGCCACCUAGGGGCAACCGGAACAAAUGGUGGAGCGGUGAAAUGCGUAGAUAUCAUUUGGAACGCCAAUGGUGAAGACAGGUUGCUGGGGGUGUGCUGACGCUGAGACACGAAAGCCAGGGGAGCAAACGGG
Molecule: ribosomal RNA, 254 nt
Filed under: uncultured bacterium
Lineage: Bacteria
Description: partial 16S ribosomal RNA
Rfam family: Bacterial small subunit ribosomal RNA
Source: RNAcentral